GCGCCCUUCGGGGUGAGCGGCGGACGGGUUAGUAACGCGUGGGAAUAUGCCCGACACUAAGGAAUAGCCUCUGGAAACGGAGAGUAAUACCUUAUACGCCCUUCGGGGGAAAGAUUUAUCGGUGACGGAUUAGCCCGCGUUAGAUUAGAUAGUUGGUGGGGUAAUGGCCUACCAAGUCUACGAUCUAUAGCUGGUUUUAGAGGAUGAUCAGCAACACUGGGACUGAGACACGGCCCAGACUCCUACGGGAGGCAGCAGUGGGGAAUCUUGGACAAUGGGCGCAAGCCUGAUCCAGCCAUGCCGCGUGAGUGAUGAAGGCCUUAGGGUCGUAAAGCUCUUUCGCCAGAGAUGAUAAUGACAGUAUCUGGUAAAGAAACCCCGGCUAACUCCGUGCCAGCAGCCGCGGUAAUACGGAGGGGGUUAGCGUUGUUCGGAAUUACUGGGCGUAAAGCGCGCGUAGGCGGAUUAGUCAGUUAGAGGUGAAAUCCCGGGGCUCAACCCCGGAACUGCCUUUAAUACUGCUAGUCUUGAGUUCGAGAGAGGUGAGUGGAAUUCCGAGUGUAGAGGUGAAAUUCGUAGAUAUUCGGAGGAACACCAGUGGCGAAGGCGGCUCACUGGCUCGAUACUGACGCUGAGGUGCGAAAGUGUGGGGAGCAAACAGGAUUAGAUACCCUGGUAGUCCACACCGUA
Molecule: ribosomal RNA, 690 nt
Filed under: uncultured Alphaproteobacteria bacterium
Lineage: Bacteria; Pseudomonadati; Pseudomonadota; Alphaproteobacteria
Description: bacterial SSU rRNA
Rfam family: Bacterial small subunit ribosomal RNA
Source: RNAcentral